Molecule: ribosomal RNA, 391 nt
Filed under: uncultured bacterium
Lineage: Bacteria
Description: bacterial SSU rRNA
Rfam family: Bacterial small subunit ribosomal RNA
Source: RNAcentral
GACGAACGCUGGCGGCGUGCUUAACACAUGCAAGUCGAACGGAAAGGCCCUGCUUGCAGGGUGCUCGAGUGGCGAACGGGUGAGUAACACGUGGGUGAUCUGCCCUGCACUUCGGGGUAAGCUUGGGAAACUGGGUCUAAUACCGGAUAGGACUACGGCCUGCAUGGGUUGUGGUGGAAAGCGCGGUGUGUAAAAAGCACUGUGCGGUGUGGGAUGGGCCCGCGGCCUAUCAGCUUGUUGGUGGGGUGAUGGCCUACCAAGGCGACGACGGGUAGCCGGCCUGAGAGGGUGUCCGGCCACACUGGGACUGAGAUACGGCCCAGACUCCUACGGGAGGCAGCAGGUGGGAAUAUUGCGCAAUGGGCGCAAGCCUGAUGCAGCGACGCCGCGG